RNAcentral lists this ribosomal RNA (810 nucleotides) under uncultured Streptococcaceae bacterium. Its description in RNAcentral is "SSU rRNA". It matches the Rfam family "Bacterial small subunit ribosomal RNA", at positions 63 to 858 of the family's 1533-position model. Lineage: Bacteria; Bacillati; Bacillota; Bacilli; Lactobacillales; Streptococcaceae. The record is from RNAcentral.
AGAACGCUGAAGGAGGAGCUUGCUCUUCUGGAUGAGUUGCGAACGGGUGAGUAACGCGUAGGUAACCUGCCUGGUAGCGGGGGAUAACUAUUGGAAACGAUAGCUAAUACCGCAUAAGAGUAGAUGUUGCAUGACAUUUGCUUAAAAGGUGCAAUUGCAUCACUACCAGAUGGACCUGCGUUGUAUUAGCUAGUUGGUGAGGUAACGGCUCACCAAGGCAACGAUACAUAGCCGACCUGAGAGGGUGAUCGGCCACACUGGGACUGAGACGCGGCCCAGACUCCUACGGGAGGCAGCAGUAGGGAAUCUUCGGCAAUGGACGGAAGUCUGACCGAGCAACGCCGCGUGAGUGAAGAAGGUUUUCGGAUCGUAAAGCUCUGUUGUAAGAGAAGAACGAGUGUGAGAGUGGAAAGUUCACACUGUGACGGUAUCUUACCAGACAGGGACGGCUAACUACGUGCCAGCAGCCGAGGUAAUACGUAGGUCCCGAGCGUUGUCCGGAUUUAUUGGGCGUAAAGCGAGCGCAGGCGGUUAGAUAAGUCUGAAGUUAAAGGCUGUGGCUUAACCAUAGUACGCUUUGGAAACUGUUUAACUUGAGUGCAAGAGGGGAGAGUGGAAUUCCAUGUAUAGCGGUGAAAUGCGUAGAUAUAUGGAGGAACACCGGUGGCGAAAGCGGCUCUCUGGCUUGUAACUGACGCUGAGGCUCGAAAGCGUGGGGAGCAAACAGGAUUAGAUACCCUGGUAGUCCACGCCGUAAACGAUGAGUGCUAGGUGUUAGACCCUUUCCGGGGUUAGUGCCGCAGCUAACGC